RNAcentral lists this ribosomal RNA (269 nucleotides) under uncultured bacterium. RNAcentral describes it as "partial 16S ribosomal RNA". It matches the Rfam family "Bacterial small subunit ribosomal RNA", at positions 85 to 354 of the family's 1533-position model. The record is from RNAcentral.
CCGAUGGCGACCGGCGCACGGGUGAGUAACACGUAUCCAACCUGCCGAUAACUCGGGGAUAGCCUUUCGAAAGAAAGAUUAAUAUCCGAUAGGAUAUCAAGGUCGCAUGAUCUUGAUAUUAAAGAAUUUCGGUUAUCGAUGGGGAUGCGUUCCAUUAGUUAGUUGGCGGGGUAACGGCCCACCAAGACGACGAUGGAUAGGGGUUCUGAGAGGAAGGUCCCCCCACAUUGGAACUGAGACACGGUCCAAACUCCUACGGAAGGCAGCAG